CUGAAGGUGUCCUUUGCUGUACAGAAGCUUUUUAGUUUGAUAUAGUCCCACUUGUUCAUUUUUGCUUUUGUUUCCCUUACCUUGGGAUGGUGAUCAUUCUUUUGGCCAUAUUUUAUCAUUUCUCAUCCUUCAAAUAUUUGGAACUAGUUAAUUUGUUGAAAAGGGCUACCCUGAAGGUCCAGCACUGACCCCUGAGCAUAGUUACUCUUCGGUAAGGAACCUCACUGAGCUGGGUGCUGGACGUGCAUGAGACUGCAGAGGGACCUGAGGCAUUUAUUUGUUAUGGUCAUGACUCCCCAGAAUAUUUACUGUUGUUGUCUCAGUGCUUAUAUCUUUUGACUGCCUGAUUCCAGCUUCACAUGUUGCUUGGCCUUUGUGGGCCUUCCAUUUUGUUUGAUGAUUCCUCUAACCUAUCUUGUUCAAUUUUAGUUUGAUCACAUACAUCCAUAUUCCUAUUGCUAAUGUUCCAGAAGAUACAGGUUUGACUGGUUGCAUUUUUAUAAGCAUAUAACUAACCCCCAUGACCUCUGGGAUAAAGUCUGAUCUCCUUAGGUUACAUAUAUCCUUGCUUACCUCUCCACCUUCAUGUUUCUCCACUACCCAUUUCAUAAUUUGUGCCUUAUCAGAAGUGACCAUACUAUACUCAUUGUUUCCCAAGUAUUUCAUUCCAUAUCAUCUCUUGAAUCCCUUAGGUCAACUUAAGCUCUCCACCCAGUAUAUCAACCACACGCCCCUUCUUUGCUUUCUUAUUCAUACCCGUCCUUUAAGACACAUUUCCUUUUCUAGGAAGCCUUCUCUUCAUCUCCCAGGCUGGGUAAAAUGCCCUUCCUGCAUUCCCCAUAGCUCACUGCCUGCUCACCUCUGUCGUGUACUGACCAGUGGUAUUGAAGAGAGAUCUGUGCGUUGGUCUACCCUCUAGAUUAUAAGUUCCGUAAGGACAGGAAGCCCACUUUCAUCUCUUUGUUCUUUGUAUUUUGCCUAGUAUGUAAAAGAGAUACUCAACAGAAAGAUAAUUUGUUAAAUCAACUAACUGAUUCCCUGUAGCCUGACUCUAGGGACUGGGAAGAAGACCUAUUAUUUUGUUGUGUUUUACACUUCUUUGGGAAAGCUCUCUAAGCUUGGCAUUUGUCGGGUAGGGAGGGAGGCUCUGGAGUGUUGAGGCCAUACACCCUGCUACUAAUUCAGGAACUCUUGUUGAAAAAGCCCAUUACAAGACCUGACUACAGUGUGCUUACUGUGGGACCUGCACCUCCCUGCGUCUCUCCAAGUGUCCAACCAGGAUACUUAAAGGUAAUGAGAUAUUAAUGUGUGAGUGUUCUUAAAAUAUUCCACUAUUCAAAUAGAAAGUAUUAGUGUCCUUUUACCACCCUGGUAUGUUUCCCAUUCUGCUUUGUGGCUCUCUACCUAUUAAAUGAGGUGAAGGGUUUAUUUUGAAGUUCAAGUCAACAGAUUCCUGUUCAUUGAUGGGCUGUAAGCACCAUGUGAGUACCAGGCUGUUAUCUGCCCACUUGCAGCCCCUUCAUUCCUAGUCUCCUGUUCUUUGCCAGGUACAUCUAAAAGUCCUGAAGAGAGGACCUUCAAAUCCCCGCAGCCCCUAAAUGAAAAGGCAUCACAACAAGAAGAGAUGAGCCCCUCUACCAGUGCUGUGAGGCUCCCGUAGUUCUCUUUGGGCUGCCUUCUCCCUCCUGGUGCCUCUGCCCUGCCCACCCCACCCACCGAUACGGCAUCCUGACAGAGAAACAGGAAUAGGCAGAGAAGACAAGAUGCUGACAUUCUGGGUAAAGGACCACGGCUUCCUAGAGGAUGUUUGCUGUCCCAGCCCUCACCUAGUGUGCCACCCACCACCAGCAGCACCCUCUUUCUUCUGGCUCACCGUGAGGACAGAUGAAGAAACUGAGUAUUUGUCAAGGCACACAGGUAAUAAGUUGAUGGAGCUGGGAUUCAACCCAGGAAGACUGGCUGCAGGGUCUAUACUUGUAAGCAUGAUGCUCUUUUGCUUUGCAUGUAUGUAAGUAUGUUCUGGUUUCUAAGCAUUUGCCCCUACUCCAAGAAGCAGUUUAUAUCAUUUUAAUUUAAAGCAAAGAGGAGAACAAUUUUAAUCCACUGCCCAAACCUUUCGUUCCCCCCUUAAGGGUAAAGGGUACUUUUCUGAAUGGAUGGAGGCCAAGAGAGAUGCUUUGAGCCAAAAGCUGCCUUUCAGUUUAGCUGAGGCAGGACUUAGAAAUGGUAUGAAUGGUGCCUGCAUUAGCCGAUGGCAUAGAGUGCUAGCACAGGAGAUGAAAUCAGACAUAUGUUUGGCUAUAAAAGUUCCUUCUUUUUCCUCUUCUCUAAUUUUAAGCCCCUGCUGCUUUGUUGCUGUAAAUCGGUGGAGCCUUAAUUGUGGGCUCAGGCUCCCUGAGGUAGUAGCCUGGGCAGAGUAAGGGCCCCCCCCUUAGCCUCUCCUAAUCUCUACCCAUGUCCACUGAAGGAAGCUGGAGCUUUCCACUUAUAAUGGUCAUACUCUGGACCUCCUCCCCAAAACAUCAGAAAUUGUGUUGCAGUGACUCUUCACUACGUAGUUCCUCCCAGCACCCAGCCAGUUGCUGGCCUCACUACAUGUUAAACAGCCUUGAUAAAGCUAGUAUCUCUAAGCCUUAGGAACUAGCCUGUCUACUCUACCUUCAUUGAUAAUAGAAUACAGCAUUAUAUCAAAUAGCGAUUAAAGGUCCUAGAGUAGAUCAUGGGAAUGGCAACCACCACAUGGCACUUUAAGAGCCAUGGCAGGGAUGGAUACUGUGGAGCAGAGGAGUCAAGGAGCCCCCUCACCCUGCCCCAGUUUCAUUGUUGAGCAAAAUAAGCCGAAACCACUCCACUGUGGGGAACUUGCUCACAUGGGUGCUUUAAGACCCCUGUCCUCUACUCUGCAAAGCUUGUAAGAGCAAGGUGGGGAUUCGGCCAGGCCACCUUUCCCACUGUGAAACACGCUGCCUCACCUACCUCACCCUUUCCCCGAUUAGCCAUCACCCUCUUUGGGAUCCUGCAGUUUGUCUACCAGUGAGAUGUCAGAAUCAGGAAGCUGUACAGUCCUAAAAGACCAACUCCUUAGUGAGCACACACGGUCCUUGGGCCACUAUGGGACCCCUAUAGUCAGAAUUCGGUCAGGCCUUAGAGCACAGUAAAGCAGGUUCUGCGGAGAUGGGAGCUCCAAGAGGUAGGAGAAGAGGACACAGUGCUGUCUGUAGGAAGGUCCCAUUCUCACUGUAUGUUGGCCCCGAGAUAGUCAGUAGGAGCCUGGUGAGGAAGCACAUACGACUUGGGAGUCAAGAGACCUGGGUUUCAUUCAGUCUCAGCUGUUCCACUAAUGUGUGACCUUGGAUGUACUCCUUUCAGUUUCUCUGAAGUUCUGUUUUCUUGGUUGUAAAAUGUGAAGGGAUUAAACUAAAUGAUUUUUCAGGGCCUUUAAAAAAUUCUGUAAUGAAAAUUCUCUAACUGCGUAUAGUCAGCAGCAGCCUUUCCUUCUAAUGGUGUUGCUAUAACCCCUCCCCUGAAAGGCGACUAACCCGUGUCCCAUUCUCAGGUAACAAACCCAAAAGCUGGGCCAGGCCUGAUCAUAAGUCACCAGCAUGGCAUUAAAGGCUGCACUGUAGGUGCUCCUGGGACACCUCUCUGAAAAGCUGUCCCGUGUGCCUGCCACCAAGGAGGAUAUACCCAGUGUUACAGCAAAGGAGGGUUGCUGCUCUAAAAGCUGAAAUGUGCCCAGAUGGAGAACGAGGCCCAGUGGAAAAGGAACUACCCUGGAAGCUCUAAGGACAAGGACACUUAAACCUAGGAACCAUAUUCUCAGUCUUCCCCAACUCCUUUGAAGUUCCUUCUAGAAAGCACUUCUCCCUCAGAUUCCAAGAAGUGAACAUGCUCAGCCCCCAGGAAAGUUUAGGCCCAUUUCUCUAGCUCUCCCCUCAGAUUGUCAUCCAGCCACAGACUCUUGUCGUUCCAGAGCAACUACAUAAUUCCAUGGCUGCCCAUACAGCUGUCAAAAAUAGAGAGGUGUUCGGCAAUUGGCUCCAUAUUCCCUAUUUCUGAAGCAACUACUUUGCUGUCUCUGAAUGUGUGCCCUAGAAGCUGUCCUGAACAGCUCAAGUUGUGUCUUGCAGCACUAGGAAAGGGGGUAAUUUACUGCUCUUCCAGCCGGUUCUAGCCAAGCCCAUCCUUUGCACUGCUACAGUUUUUUCUCUUUACUGGCAUAUAGGAUAGUAAAGGAGAGGCAGAGGGCACGUCUUUGGAGCCUACAAACAUGAGUGGCAGUUUCUAAGUGUGUGACCGUGCAUGCAUGCAGCCACAAACACUGAUAACAAGAAAUGAUACCUAUAUAUCCAGGAGAAUUAAGGAUUGGCUCUCUCUUAGCCAUUUCUUAUCCAACUGCUACAAAGUGCUCCCUGCCUCUCCCUGUUCAGUGCCAGAGAGAUCACACCCACUCAGUCCCAAUUCCCCGCAUUAGUAUAAAUACUAGCGCUGAAACAGACGCAGGGUCCCAGUUCAUGCAGCCUCCCUGUACGUCACUACUCAGUAAGCAUCAGGAGAGACACCCACCACCACCAAGACACGUUUGACUGUUUAGCACCCAGAGAACAGAAGCAGCACUGCCUGUAGGAAAUUUAAGCCAAACAAAAUUAUUGCCGACCUCUUAAAUCCAGGUCCCCCAGGGUCCCUGGGCAGAGACGGUGCUGCCCAACCUGCAGCUUCUGCUGAGGUGGCAUUUAACUUCUGGCUGGGUCCCAGGAGCUGAGGCUGACCCAUUUCCCCUGCUUUUCCAGGGCAUAGGGAAGUUAGUUCUACCCCCUAAAAAAACAGGGACUAACACAAUUAGCCCUUGGAAGGCGCACUAGAAUCGGGGUGCUUUUAUUUAAGCUAAGGAAAGAUUGUUGACAGCUUUGCAUUUCUCCACACUUAAAAGAAAUUCAGCAUUCUCUUCCCCUCCCACCUUACCUCUUCUCUUUAAAUGAAAUAACUUGGUUGAUGCUCAUAAGAAUAUAUAGAUUCAGGGUCUUAUUCAGUUUAACCCUUUGGGGACAUUGAAUUAAAAAGUGAACAGUAUUUAUUAAAAUACAAAAAUACACUUUUCUCACAU
Non-coding RNA from Manis javanica (Malayan pangolin), 5104 nucleotides. NCBI's taxonomy places the organism in Eukaryota, Metazoa, Chordata, Mammalia, Pholidota, Manidae. The record is from RefSeq and is a predicted model, not a curated record.